AAACACACCAAAGUGCAAAUUUGGAGACGCACCCCAACAAGGGUGCCGGGGCUUC
RNAcentral lists this transfer RNA (55 nucleotides) under Afrogecko porphyreus. RNAcentral's name for it is "partial tRNA-Cys". Lineage: Eukaryota; Metazoa; Chordata; Lepidosauria; Squamata; Gekkonidae. The record is from RNAcentral.